This 296-nucleotide ribosomal RNA is filed under the name uncultured bacterium. Its description in RNAcentral is "partial 16S ribosomal RNA". It matches the Rfam family "Bacterial small subunit ribosomal RNA", at positions 775 to 1067 of the family's 1533-position model. The record is from RNAcentral.
GGAUUAGAUACCCUGGUAGUCCUAGCUGUAAACGAUGGAUACUAGACGUAGGAACUGGAUUGACGGUUUCUGUGUCGUAGCUAACGCGUUAAGUAUCCCGCCUGGGGAGUACGGUCGCAAGGUUAAAACUCAAAUGAAUUGACGGGGGCCCGCACAAGCAGUGGAGCAUGUGGUUUAAUUCGAUGCAACGCGAAGAACCUUACCAGGCCUUGACAUCCUCGGAACUUUCUAGAGAUAGAUUGGUGCCUUCGGGAACCGAGUGACAGGUGCUGCAUGGCUGUCGUCAGCUCGUGCCG